Molecule: ribosomal RNA, 498 nt
Filed under: uncultured bacterium
Lineage: Bacteria
Description: partial 16S ribosomal RNA
Rfam family: Bacterial small subunit ribosomal RNA
Source: RNAcentral
AUUGAACGCUGGCGGAAUGCUUUACACAUGCAAGUCGAACGGUAACAGGUCUUCGGAUGCUGACGAGUGGCGAACGGGUGAGUAAUAUAUCGGAACGUGCCCAGUCGUGGGGGAUAACGUAGCGAAAGUUACGCUAAUACCGCAUGCGCCCUUAGGGGGAAAGCCGGGGACCGAAAGGCCUGGCGCGAUUGGAUGAGCCCAUGUUCGAUUAGCUAGUUGGCGGGGUAAAGGCCCACCAAGGCGACGAUCGAUAGCUGGUCUGAGAGGAUGAUCAGCCACACUGGGACUGAGACACGGCCCAGACUCCUACGGGAGGCAGCAGUAGGGAAUAUUGGACAAUGGGCGCAAGCCUGAUCCAGCCAUGCCGCGUGAGUGAAGAAGGCCCUCGGGUUGUAAAGCUCUUUUGUCCGGAAAGAAAAGCAUUCGGUUAAUACCCGGGUGUUCUGACGGUACCGGAAGAAUAAGCACCGGCUAACUUCGUGCCAGCAGCCGCAGUAA